Molecule: long non-coding RNA, 821 nt
Organism: Lytechinus variegatus (green sea urchin)
Lineage: Eukaryota; Metazoa; Echinodermata; Echinoidea; Temnopleuroida; Toxopneustidae
Exons: 5
Source: RefSeq, a predicted model, not a curated record
UAUUUUUUUUCACAACCCUGCGUAAUCUUACCCGAGUUACGUUAAAUAUUGGUUGCGUAAAAAGUUUUCUUCAAUAAGAGGUUACGAUUUCACGUCAAUUCCCGCCAAGCACCCAGUUUCACAACAGUUGUGUACAUGAAUUCACCACGUGACUUGAGACAGCCAAUCAGCCGUCAUAAAAGUUUUACGCAAACUUUUGAUAUCCAUAUCCAAAAUGGAGAGUGCCAAGGAAUUGCUUUGCGAUUGAGGGUUCGAGUCACGUCAGCCGUCAAAAAUUUUGAGGAGGCCUAUGGAGCUGAGUGAGGAUGAGGAUCCAGUUUUGCAAGAUAAAACGACACCAAAACCAAGAAAGAGGGUCAGAUGCCCCUAUGAAUUUGAUGUUAAAAGCAUCAUUUUGAAAGGUAGAAACGGAAGGGGCUUGCUGGAGGCAUUAACUCGAGGACGGGUUCUAAACAACAGCGAGAGAAUUCAACUCAACUGAGUGUUGGUUAGCCAUCUAAUUGAAGAGCAUUGAUGGAACCCACCAUCACAAGUGAAGGAAAGCCUUGCGCACAGCCUUGUGGAUCAAUUCAAAAUUUUGAAGGACAUCAACGGAAUCACAGGAUAUGAAGGAACAUCCAUUGAAUAUUAUUUGGCCGAUCAUGAUGCAAAGGAUCGACCACAGCCUUUCUUGUUGAUCCUUGGAGGCACCCGGUGGAAACAGAGCCAGGUUUUGUCAUUGUCGAGCGUAACACCGUCCAGUGUACAUGUACUUUCAUCACGCAAGCUAUAGAUGUCUGCUUUAAGUUAACCUAUGUGCUGGAUGUUGACUACCACACCCA